CCUACGGUGGGCUGCAGUGGGGAAUAUUGGACAAUGGGCGAAAGCCUGAUCCAGCCAUGCCGCGUGUGUGAAGAAGGCCUUCGGGUUGUAAAGCACUUUCAGUUGGGAGGAAAGGCUUUAAGCUAAUACCCUCGUGGUAGGACAUCACCCACAGAAGAAGCACCGGCUAACUCCGUGCCAGCAGCCGCGGUAAUACGGAGGGUGCGAGCGUUAAUCGGAAUUACUGGGCGUAAAGCGCGCGUAGGCGGUCUGAUAAGCCGGUUGUGAAAGCCCCGGGCUCAACCUGGGAACGGCAUCCGGAACUGUCAGGCUAGAGUGCAGGAGAGGAAGGUAGAAUUCCCGGUGUAGCGGUGAAAUGCGUAGAGAUCGGGAGGAAUACCAGUGGCGAAGGCGGCCUUCUGGACUGACACUGACGCUGAGGUGCGAAAGCGUGGGUAGCAAACAGGAUUAGAUACCCCUGUAGUC
This 465-nucleotide ribosomal RNA is filed under the name Vreelandella stevensii. RNAcentral describes it as "partial 16S ribosomal RNA". It matches the Rfam family "Bacterial small subunit ribosomal RNA", at positions 338 to 795 of the family's 1533-position model. The record is from RNAcentral. Lineage: Bacteria; Pseudomonadati; Pseudomonadota; Gammaproteobacteria; Oceanospirillales; Halomonadaceae.